RNAcentral lists this ribosomal RNA (464 nucleotides) under uncultured bacterium. Its description in RNAcentral is "partial 16S ribosomal RNA". It matches the Rfam family "Bacterial small subunit ribosomal RNA", at positions 29 to 507 of the family's 1533-position model. The record is from RNAcentral.
AUUGAACGCUGGCGGCAGGCCUAACACAUGCAAGUCGAGCGGAUGAAGGGAGCUUGCUCCUGGAUUCAGCGGCGGACGGGUGAGUAAUGCCUAGGAAUCUGCCUGGUUGUGGGGGAUAACGUCCGGAAACGGGCGCUAAUACCGCAUACGUCCUGCGGGAGCAAGUGGGGGAUCUUCGGACCUCGCGGUAUCAGAUGAAGCUACGGCUGAUUAGCUAGUUGGGGGGGUAAAGGCGUACCAAGGCGACGAUGGGUAGCUGGCCUGAGAGGGUGAUCGGCCACAUGGGGACUGAGAUACGGCCCAGAGUCCUAAGGGAGGAAGCAGUGGGGAAUAUUGCACAAUGGGCGGAAGGGUGAUGCAGCAACGCCGCGUGCGGGAUGACGGCCUUCGGGUUGUAAACAGCUUUCGCCUGUGACGAAGCGUGAGUGACGGUAAUGGGUAAAGAAGCACCGGCUAACUACGUG